Tachyglossus aculeatus (Australian echidna) is the source of this 2821-nucleotide long non-coding RNA. RefSeq lists it as uncharacterized. NCBI's taxonomy places the organism in Eukaryota, Metazoa, Chordata, Mammalia, Monotremata, Tachyglossidae. The transcript has 5 exons. The record is from RefSeq and is a predicted model, not a curated record.
CACACCUGUAUGUCAAAGGAAUGAUUCACCCAAAGGUUCUGUAAAUCUGGCACCAGCACUGCAUGGUAGGGGGCAGGUGAGGGAAGGUGGGGAAACAAGGAAAGACAGCAUGGGAGUUAAAAAGUAUGACAGAAGAAAAGAAAUGCAGGCAUGUAUCUUAAGGGUUUGCUUACUUGCAUCACAGGGAGAAAAAUAAGAACGAUGUGUGACUAAGAAUAAACAGCAAAAGGAAUGUUUAAACUACAUCAACAUGCAGUCUCUCUUAGGGAUAGUCUUCAAAUGUGCCACGGAAAGCCUGCUGCUUGAACUGCAGUAUGGUAAAUUUUGCAAUUUAAAUGUCCAUUAAAAUUUUAUAAAUUCUCAGCAAUACAAUGAAAUUGCAUUUAAUCUGCACUGGGGGGACCUUAAUUGUCACCUCCCUCCUUCCAGUAAAAUGAAAUCUGGACUACUACAAUGAAAACAAGGGAGAUAUGUGCCUUCUAGAAUACAUAUUUCUAACUUUAAAUCUCUUCUUCCAACCACAGGGUUCCAGAAGUCUAAGCAAACAAACAAGGUUGACUUAGACAAAUCCAUUAGAGCCAAUUGAAUGAUUUAAAUUUUAAUACACACAUGAUGCAUUGCAAUGAAUGCAUCAAAGAACAACUAGUAUAGCACUUAGCAGGAAAUACUGGUUCAAGAUCAAAGCAAAAUGAGAGAAAAAUGAAGGGGAGCCAAUGAUGAGGGUUCGUGGAGCACAUUUAAUCACAAAUGAAAACCGAGGAUAACAUACAUCUAGAUUAUAAUUUGAAAAGGAAGCAAACACGGACUAGGGCUUUGCUUCAAGGGAACAGUGGGGCCCUACCGCAUCUUUUCUUGUAUAAUUGGUAUCUGUGCAGCUUCGUGGAAAACUUGAAACACAAUUCCAAAUGUACUGGAGUCUGACCCAUCAAGAGCAAGGCAGUGAUUAGACUCAACCUCUAAAUUCUGGGUUUCAGGGCUCUUAGAGAUCCCGGCUGGAACACCUGACUACAAGCAGCUCUUUCGUACCGACAAAAAACUGACCUUUGUUGGCUUGAGGCUGUAUGGCCCAGAAAGGGGAUAAGGCAGACUGGAAUCACUGGCCAACCUAGCUGCAGUGCUUCUGCCACCUGGAGCUGCUAGGCCAUUCUCCUCCCUGCAAGUCUCCAAGUUAAUGCUCUUCUGGGCUUGAAGGGAGAGAAGAAUCCACCAAGUCUUCCCUGCCUCAGUGAGGUCAGGGGAACAAGCCCUUGACUGUUGAAGCGGGCUCCACAGGUUGCUGAACCCAUAGGAUAACAUUUGUAACUGAUUUAGAGAUUACCCGGGGUCAGACUCCAACCUUAAGUACAAUCUGCUUUUUUCCUUUCACAAUAGCCACAGUAUCUGCAUGACAGUACCCUGCCUGACCUCCAGCUAGCAUUCCACUGGAAAUUAUAUCAGAGGGAUUAAGCAUAAUUGUUCUCUGUGGAAAUCACUGUGCUAUCCCAGAUUGAAGAUUUGGGGUUAGAUAAAAAUCAGCAGCAGAGUAACUCACUUCAGUAAGAAAGACCGCUGAACCUGUGUGUGGCAGAGAAUGUGUCCAAUCUGAUCACCAUGGCUCAACCCCAGAACUGUACACAAUACUUGGCACAUAACUGGAACCCUUAUUCCCACAGUUCCAUUUAAGACAUGGUGCAUAAAGCACAGGGUCCCUCUUCCACUCACCUGGGGGCAGAAGGUGUGACUAAUGAAGACAGAAUGAAGAGAAGAAGCAAGUCCUGAAACUAAAGGAAUGGACCAGUUGGAAGUUCAACCCUCAGUAUACACCAGUAGAUGGCAGCAAGAAAUUCAACCUGACCUUCCAUCAUUUUAUAAAAGUAGUAGGAAUUACUGCUGGACCACUGGAAAGAAUUCUUCUCUAGACUUCAGGAGGCUCGAGUUCUAAUUCCGAUUCUCCCUGUAGCUGAUGAACAUGGGCAAAGGCCACAGCUCUAAAAGAAGAUCAAAUCCAAAAUGUAGAAGAAAGUAAAUGAAUAUCUGUUGAGAGCCAGAGAGAAUACAUUUCUUUACAAUACGGCUAAGCACAGAAGGGGCCUCAAGGAUUUGAAACUGCUGCAAUCUGGAGUUACAUAUUUGCAUUAAAAAACCUGCAUCUGGCUAAGGCCACAGAGUCCAGGGGAAAGAGCAUAGCUCUGGAAGUGAGGCAGAGCUCUGCCACUCAGCUUCUCUGUGUCACCUCAGGCAAGUCGCUUAAUCUCUCUGGGCUCAGCUUCAUGGUACCUAAAAUGGGGGUAUACUACUUGCCUUUUCUUACUUUACAGGGAUUUCAUGGGAAUAAAAUCUGUUAGUUGACGUGCAAGUGCUUUAAAUGGGAUUUUUAGGGUAAGGGAAGAAGAAAAAAGGAGAGGGGUUAACAAUGUCUGAAAAUUCAUCUAGCAUUCUUUUCAAGUCCCUUCUUUUGUUCUUUAACAGCAUGUGCUUUUCAUAGCUGCCUUGUAAGGUCUUUGAGGGCAGGAAUAAUGCCUACCAACUGUACUGAACUGUACAAGUGUACCAAGCGCUUGCUCCGCACACAGUGAGCACUCAAUAAAUACCACCGAAAUUAACUAAUGGUUAGUGAUACUAUCCAUCCCCUAAACCACAAACUCUCGAAUGCUCCCCUAAAGUCACAGUGAGUUUGGGGGCUCCAAAGCUUACAGGUCUGAAAUUUCUGCACAUGAAUAGUAUUAGAAUUACUAUUCUUGGAAGAAGCUGGUCAUUCAUUGCCCAAGGACCCAGAACUCCUGUGACCUGGAGCCAAAACAAGCAUUAGACUGUUUCCUCACGGUGAAGAGCCGUACUUCUU